UACGAAGGGGGCUAGCGUUGCUCGGAAUCACUGGGCGUAAAGGGUGCGUAGGCGGGUCUUUAAGUCAGGGGUGAAAUCCUGGAGCUCAACUCCAGAACUGCCUUUGAUACUGAGGAUCUUGAGUUCGGGAGAGGUGAGUGGAACUGCGAGUGUAGAGGUGAAAUUCGUAGAUAUUCGCAAGAACACCAGUGGCGAAGGCGGCUAUCUGGACGACAACUGACGCUGAGGCGCGAAAGCGCGGGGAUCAAACAGG
This 253-nucleotide ribosomal RNA is filed under the name uncultured bacterium. Its description in RNAcentral is "partial 16S ribosomal RNA". It matches the Rfam family "Bacterial small subunit ribosomal RNA", at positions 524 to 776 of the family's 1533-position model. The record is from RNAcentral.